GCGGCAGUAGCUCAAUAGCAGAGCUCCCGCUUCGCAUGCAGGGAGACCUGGGUUCGAUCCCUGGCUGCUUCC
RNAcentral lists this transfer RNA (72 nucleotides) under Toxocara canis (dog roundworm). It matches the Rfam family "tRNA". Rfam says of the family: Transfer RNA (tRNA) molecules are approximately 80 nucleotides in length. Their secondary structure includes four short double-helical elements and three loops (D, anti-codon, and T loops). Lineage: Eukaryota; Metazoa; Nematoda; Chromadorea; Rhabditida; Toxocaridae. The record is from Rfam by way of RNAcentral.